AUUUUAUGGUCAAGCUACUAAGGGUGGACGGUGGAUGCCUUGGCGCAGAGAAGCGAUGAAGGACGUGGCAAGCUGCGAUAAGCCUCGGGGAGCCGCAAACAGGCUUUGAUCCGGGGAUUUCCGAAUGGGGCAACCCCUCUGAAGGCAAGUUCAGAGAUCCCCUGCUGAAUGCAUAGGCAGGGAGAAGCAAACCCGGGGAAGUGAACCAUCUCAGUACCCGGAGGAAAAGAAAGCAAUUGCGAUUCCGUCAGUAGCGGCGAGCGAAAGCGGAACAGCCCAAACCUCGAGGGCUUCGGUUCUCGGGGGGUUGUGGGGCGGAGUACGGCGCAAGCCAGGAAGUCAACAAGAACCCGUCUAGUCGAAGGUCACUGGAAAGUGCCGCCAGAGAGGGUGACAGCCCCGUAGGCGAAAGACGAGGUUCCUUCCCAUUCCGUUCCCGAGUACCACGGGGCACGAGAAACCUUGUGGGAAUCCGGGUGGACCAUCACCCAAGGCUAAACAUUACUCUGCGACCGAUAGUGAACCAGUACCGUGAGGGAAAGGUGAAAAGAACCCCUGUGAGGGGAGUGAAAUAGUACCUGAACCCGUCCAUCUACAAGCAGUGGGACCACCAUGUCGCAAGACGGUGGAACCGCGUGCCUUUUGCAUAAUGAGCCGGCUAGUUAAUUUCAGCGGCAAGGCGAAGCGUCGUGCUGAGCCGGAGCGAAAGCGAGUCUGAAUAGGGCGAUUCAGUCGCUGGGAUUACACGCGAAGCGGGAUGAUCUAACCAUGGCCAGGGUGAAGCUGCGGUAACACGCAGUGAAGGCCCGAACUGGUGUUGGUUGAAAACAACUCGGAUGAGCUGUGGUUAGGGGUGAAAGGCUAAUCAAAUUCCGUUAUAGCUCGUUCUCUCCGAAAUAGCUUUAGGGCUAGCCUCGCAUGAUUGACGACGGUGGUAGAGCUCUGGAUGGACUAGGGGCGUUUCCACGUUACCAAAUCCAACCAAACUCCGAAUGCCGUUGAUCACAGUGCGGGAGUCAGACAGUGGGGGAUAAGCUUCAUUGUCGAGAGGGAAAGAACCCAGACCGCCCGCUAAGGUCCCCAAAUCGUUGCUAAGUGGAAAAGGAUGUGGAGACGCCCAGACAGCCAGGAGGUUGGCUUAGAAGCAGCCAUCCUUUAAAGAAAGCGUAACAGCUCACUGGUCAAGCGGCUCCGUGCCGACAAUUCAACGGGGCUAAAGCAACGUACCGAAGCGGCGGAUGUCUCGAGGCUUCGGCCGAGAGACGUGGUAGGAGAGCAUUCCUAGCGCAGCGAAGUCGGACCGCGAGGACCGAUGGAGCGCUCGGAAGAGACCCUGCCGGCACAAGUAGCGAUAAAGCAGUUGAGAGCACUGCUCGCCGUAAAUCUAAGGAUUCCUGAGCAAGGUUAAUCCGCUCAGGGUCAGUCGGUCCCUAAGGCGAGGCCGAAAGGCGUAGCCGAUGGAAAUCCGGUUAAUAUUCCGGAACCGCUUGUUUGUCGUUAUCACCGAGGGGGGGACGCAGGAGGCUAGGCGUACCGGGUGUUGGAUGUCCUGGGCCAAGCUCGUAGGCGGAGGGGAUAGGUAAAUCCGUUCCCUUAUUCAACGCCGAGAAGCGAUGGGGAGGCCGUCAGGCCGCAAACUCGCCGAUGCCACGCUGCCGAGAAAAUCCUCUAGGGAGAUGAACGGGUGACCGUACCGCAAACCGACACAGGUAGAUGAGGAGAGAAUCCUAAGGCGCUCGAGUGAAGCGUUGCGAAGGAACUCGGCAAAUUAACACCGUAACUUCGGGAGAAGGUGUGCCCUGGAGCGUUCAGAGAUUUACUCUCGAAGGCGCACUGGGGUCUCAGUAAAACGGGCCAAGCGACUGUUUACUAAAAACACAGGACUCUGCAAAGUCGUAAAACGACGUAUAGGGUCUGACGCCUGCCCGGUGCUGGAAGGUUAAGGGGAGAGGUUAGCCGCAAGGCAAAGCUUUGAACCGAAGCCCCAGUAAACGGCGGCCGUAACUAUAACGGUCCUAAGGUAGCGAAAUUCCUUGUCGGGUAAGUUCCGACCUGCACGAAUGGCGUAACGAUUUGGUCACUGUCUCCGCAACGCGCUCGGCGAAUCUGUAGCACCGGUGAAGAUGCCGGUUACCCGCACGUAGACGGAAAGACCCUGUGCACCUUUACUAUACCCAGGCAUUGAAUUUUGGCGUUGUCUGCGCAGGAUAGGUGGGACACUUUGAACCUGGGGUUUCGGCCUCGGGGGAGUGGACGGUGAGAUACCACCCUGAUGGCGCCGGAGUUCUAACUGAGACCCGUAAUCCGGGUCCAGGACCAUGCCUGGCGGGUAGUUUGACUGGGGCGGUCGCCUCCUAAAAAGUAACGGAGGCGCCCAAAGGUUCUCUCAGGCUGAUUGGAAACCAGCCGUAGAGUGCAAAGGCAGAAGAGAGCUUGACUGCGAGACCGACAAGUCGAGCAGGUACGAAAGUAGGGCUUAGUGAUCCGGUGGUUCUGUAUGGAAGGGCCAUCGCUCAACGGAUAAAAGGUACGCCGGGGAUAACAGGCUGAUCUUGCCCAAGAGUUCA
Molecule: ribosomal RNA, 2567 nt
Filed under: Chloroflexota bacterium
Lineage: Bacteria; Bacillati; Chloroflexota
Description: Chloroflexi bacterium partial 23S ribosomal RNA
Rfam family: Bacterial large subunit ribosomal RNA
Source: RNAcentral